UGGCGAACGGGUGAGUAAUACGUGAGUGACCUACCUUUGACUCUGGGAUAAGCCUGGGAAACUGGGUCUAAUACCGGAUAUGACCAAUCUCCGCAUGGGGUGUUGGUGGAAAGCGUUAUGGAGUGGUUUUAGAUGGGCCCACGGCCUAUCAGCUUGUUGGUGAGGUAAUGGCUUACCAAGGCGACGACGGGUAGCCGGCCUGAGAGGGUGACCGGCCACACUGGGACUGAGACACGGCCCAG
RNAcentral lists this ribosomal RNA (242 nucleotides) under uncultured bacterium. Its description in RNAcentral is "partial 16S ribosomal RNA". It matches the Rfam family "Bacterial small subunit ribosomal RNA", at positions 96 to 334 of the family's 1533-position model. The record is from RNAcentral.